RNAcentral lists this ribosomal RNA (732 nucleotides) under Escherichia coli. RNAcentral describes it as "partial 23S ribosomal RNA". It matches the Rfam family "Bacterial large subunit ribosomal RNA", at positions 2211 to 2925 of the family's 2925-position model. The record is from RNAcentral. Lineage: Bacteria; Pseudomonadati; Pseudomonadota; Gammaproteobacteria; Enterobacterales; Enterobacteriaceae.
UGUUUGAUGUUCUAACGUGGGCCCCUAAUCGGGGUUGCGGACAGUGUCUGGUGGGUAGUUUGACUGGGGCGGUCUCCUCCUAAAGAGUAACGGAGGAGCACGAAGGUUGGCUAAUCCUGGUCGGACAUCAGGAGGUUAGUGCAAUGGCAUAAGCCAGCUUGACUGCGAGCGUGACGGCGCGAGCAGGUGCGAAAGCAGGUCAUAGUGAUCCGGUGGUUCUGAAUGGAAGGGCCAUCGCUCAACGGAUAAAAGGUACUCCGGGGAUAACAGGCUGAUACCGCCCAAGAGUUCAUAUCGACGGCGGUGUUUGGCACCUCGAUGUCGGCUCAUCACAUCCUGGGGCUGAAGUAGGUCCCAAGGGUAUGGCUGUUCGCCAUUUAAAGUGGUACGCGAGCUGGGUUUAGAACGUCGUGAGACAGUUCGGUCCCUAUCUGCCGUGGGCGCUGGAGAACUGAGGGGGGCUGCUCCUAGUACGAGAGGACCGGAGUGGACGCAUCACUGGUGUUCGGGUUGUCAUGCCAAUGGCACUGCCCGGUAGCUAAAUGCGGAAGAGAUAAGUGCUGAAAGCAUCUAAGCACGAAACUUGCCCCGAGAUGAGUUCUCCCUGAGACUUAGAGUCUCCUGAAGGAACGUUGAAGACGACGACGUUGAUAGGCCGGGUGUGUAAGCGCAGCGAUGCGUUGAGCUAACCGGUACUAAUGAACCGUGAGGCUUAACCUUACAACGCCGAAG